This 30-nucleotide non-coding RNA is filed under the name Homo sapiens (human). The record is from RNAcentral. Lineage: Eukaryota; Metazoa; Chordata; Mammalia; Primates; Hominidae.
UAAGCGGAACCUAGAUCCAUUCCUCCUCAC